RNAcentral lists this ribosomal RNA (255 nucleotides) under uncultured bacterium. Its description in RNAcentral is "partial 16S ribosomal RNA". It matches the Rfam family "Bacterial small subunit ribosomal RNA", at positions 524 to 776 of the family's 1533-position model. The record is from RNAcentral.
GACGAACCGGAGCAAACGUUAUUCGGAAUCACUGGGCUUAAAGGGCGCGUAGGCGGGUACUCAAGUCUGUGGUGAAAUCCGGCAGCUUAACUGUCGAACUGCCGUGGAUACUGGGUACCUCGAGGAAGGUAGGGGCAUGCGGAACUAUUGGUGGAGCGGUGAAAUGCGUUGAUAUCAAAUAGGAACUCCGGUGGCGAAGGCGGCAUGCUGGACCUUUUCUGACGCUGAGGCGCGAAAGCCAGGGGAGCAAACGGG